GCUGGGGUUGUGGCUCAGUGGCAGAGCGAUUACCUAGCAUGCGUGAGGCACUGGGUGCGAUUCUCAGCACAGCA
RNAcentral lists this transfer RNA (74 nucleotides) under Marmota monax (woodchuck). Its description in RNAcentral is "tRNA.Ala". The record is from RNAcentral. Lineage: Eukaryota; Metazoa; Chordata; Mammalia; Rodentia; Sciuridae.